Molecule: transfer RNA, 67 nt
Filed under: marine eukaryotic metagenome
Rfam family: tRNA
About the family: Transfer RNA (tRNA) molecules are approximately 80 nucleotides in length. Their secondary structure includes four short double-helical elements and three loops (D, anti-codon, and T loops).
Source: RNAcentral
CCGUAGCUCAGUUGGAUAGAGUGUCGGCCUCCGAAGCCGAAAGUCACAGGUUCGAAUCCUGUCGGGC